RNAcentral lists this ribosomal RNA (301 nucleotides) under uncultured bacterium. RNAcentral describes it as "partial 16S ribosomal RNA". It matches the Rfam family "Bacterial small subunit ribosomal RNA", at positions 509 to 807 of the family's 1533-position model. The record is from RNAcentral.
CAGUCGCCGCGGGAAUACGUAGGGUGCAAGCGUUAAUCGGAAUUACUGGGCGUAAAGCGUGCGCAGGCGGUUCGCUAAGACAGGUGUGAAAUCCCCGGGCUUAACCUGGGAACUGCAUUUGUGACUGGCGGGCUAGAGUAUGGCAGAGGGGGGUAGAAUUCCACGUGUAGCAGUGAAAUGCGUAGAGAUGUGGAGGAAUACCGAUGGCGAAGGCAGCCCCCUGGGCCGAUACUGACGCUCAUGCACGAAAGCGUGGGGAGCAAACAGGAUUAGAUACCCCCGUAGUCCCUGUCUCUUAUAC